This 75-nucleotide non-coding RNA is filed under the name human gut metagenome. RNAcentral describes it as "ZMP/ZTP riboswitch". It matches the Rfam family "ZMP/ZTP riboswitch aptamer (pfl RNA motif)", at positions 5 to 81 of the family's 86-position model. Rfam says of the family: Previously known as pfl RNA. ZMP is also known as AICAR. The record is from RNAcentral.
UUUUGUGUGACUGACGGAUGAGUGGAGUUUACCACGGGGAGCACAAAAGUAAAAAAUAGCCGACCGUCUGGGCAG